UACGUAGGUCCCGAGCGUUGUCCGGAUUUAUUGGGCGUAAAGCGAGCGCAGGCGGUUUGAUAAGUCUGAAGUUAAAGGCUGUGGCUCAACCAUAGUUCGCUUUGGAAACUGUCAAACUUGAGUGCAGAAGGGGAGAGUGGAAUUCCAUGUGUAGCGGUGAAAUGCGUAGAUAUAUGGAGGAACACCGGUGGCGAAAGCGGCUCUCUGGUUUGUAACUGACGCUGAGGCUCGAAAGCGUGGGGAGCGAACAGG
RNAcentral lists this ribosomal RNA (252 nucleotides) under Streptococcus salivarius. RNAcentral describes it as "partial 16S ribosomal RNA". It matches the Rfam family "Bacterial small subunit ribosomal RNA", at positions 524 to 776 of the family's 1533-position model. The record is from RNAcentral. Lineage: Bacteria; Bacillati; Bacillota; Bacilli; Lactobacillales; Streptococcaceae.